GUAAAGUUUUUAAAAAUACUUUGUUAAAAUGUCCCAUAACAUUAAUUUCAUCUGGGGUGAAUUCAUAUUACAUCUGUUAAUUUUAUUGGUAGCCUUUCUAAAGCAUUAUAUCUCUCCACAUAUUUGGGAUUUGGUUUGCAGGCUCAUUUAAUUUUUUGUCUUGUUUUGCUUUCUUUGUUUCUUUCAUUUUCCUUUCUUCCUGCUGAUCAUUUUUGUGGCUGGCCUGUUCCUGCACCAGUACAGGGUGAGGUGUCACUGUGGCCCUCUGGUAGCACCGUGGUGGUACUAGUGUCUCUGCAGAGCUAGGACCUGAGCCAGAGAAAGCUUGGCUCAUUUGUGACCAGGAGCUGACAUGGCUGGAGCUGUGGCCUCUGGGCUGAAUUUAGGUUCAAGCAGUCUGAAAACCACUGCCCUAUGUGGGGGUCUGCAGGCAUUUUUGACAUCAGCUUCUUAACUGGGGGAGCCCUGGACUCCAGGUGGCAAAUGUGGCUCCCAUCCCCCACCUCUGUGGAGAAUGCCUUGUUCUGCCAUCUCUGCUGGCUCCAGACCUGCAGCCAGCAGGCGCGUGGCUUUGGCCUCACUGCUGCUUUGCAUUCCUAUUCUGUUGGACAUUUUAAUUUGGCUUUUGAGCCUGGCCAUGUCUUUUUAGUCUUCUGUUGUUGUAUUUUACCUGCCCUGUGUGUUUGGAGCAGGGCCAAUGUAUCAAAGUGUGAACUCGAUGGGCGCUUUUGAUGGAGGAAGUCCUUGACUAAAUCAUAAAGAUUCCUUUCGGUUCCCUAUUCAAAGGCUGUAAUCUGCCGAGUAGAUCUUCAUAAUGGGGAUAUUCUACCUUUGUAUAGGAGACAGAAUGAUGUACUCAGUAUUUUUUUCCCCAGAAGACUGUCUUAGCAAUCUCCUUAGAGAAAACAGCAGCCUGCUACCCGACAAGUUAUUUCUUCUGUGGUCUCUCCAACACAUAUCCCUCUCUGAAAUUAUCUUAUUUUUCUGUGCACACAUUUGUCUCUCCCACUGGGAUCUAAGCUCCAUGAGAGCAGAAACCCUCUCUCAUUUCCCUUUUGUAUCCCCAACCCCUUAGCAAUCGUGUCUGUCACAUGUAGACACUCAAUAAUGUUCUGAUAAAUUACUGACUCAGUCACUGAAACCUGCCUGUGCCUCCUUAAUUCCAUGGCCAUGCUGAGCGACACCUGCUGCCCAGCCUCUUGUGAGUGCGGGAGCCAGCAUGGACCGGCAGCUAGGUAGGGUGACUAGCCUUGUUUGAUGCCUGCCUUCAUUCAUCAAAACUGUGUCACCAAGUGCCUGCUUUGGGCAAGGCACGGACAUCCAGGCGUUCGUACUGGAUUCAUUUUCUACAGCCUUUUCGAAUGUCACCUCGGUCCAUUGUCAGUCAUUGGAUUUCUCUGUAAAUCUCAGAGAUGAAUGGAGUGGAUAGGCUGUGCUUGAGUGGAUUAGCCACCUUGCUGGCUCCACCGUCAUGGGGCCCUGGCUCUGGGUUUGUGCCGAGGCAGGCAAGGCCCAUCCACUCAUAGAGUGUCUGUUCCAGGGGCGACACACUCACUGCUAUCUAAACAGCUGCACUGUAUUGCAGAUUGACCUGGCUAGGAUGGCUCUAAAGCGAGGGCUCCUAUUUUCCAUCUGUCUUCUCAGGGGUGAAGAGUCUCUGUGCCUGCGGAAGCUGAGGUGGCUAGGGAGCCUGGCCCAGAGCCUUAGCUCUGCACUCCAUUCCUGACACACAUGUUCAUGCUGUGCAGGCCCAGGAGCCAUGAGCUGAGCUCUUGGAGCCUCUGCCCAGAGGGUGCAUCCCGAAAUGUCAGCUGGACAGAGGGUGUCAUCAUCCUAUUCUGUGGGACUAUUGGCCAGAAAAAGGCAGGUCUGGAGACUGGGGAGACAUUCCUGUGCGGCUGCUUCAUUGUCUCAGACCAGCUUCCCCUCUGAUUGCACCAGGGCUGGGUAAUGGUUAAGAGCCGGCUGCUGAUGGCCCAGCACGCAUUAGCUAUGCUUGCAUUCCUGGGACGCUGCCCCAGCCCCAGCUUUGAAGAUCCUGUAAGAAAUCCUCAGCGUUCAGGCUCGCUGUUUGUAUUUAGCUUUUCUGAAGUGUUGGCAUUCCAUAGGCAUUCCAGAAGCCUUCUUGGCAUUUUUAGAUAUUCUGCAGCAGCCUCAGGAGCCAAGUUAUUACUCUCUCCAUUCUACAGGUAAGAGGGGAAUACGCAGGAGAAGAAGAGCAACUCGCUCAAACUUACAGGCCACUCAGUGGUCAAGCCACUAUUACUGCUGUACUCACAGUGGUCAGCCUGCCGCCAAGCCCUGCUGACCUGCCGUUUACCUGGGUGCAGCAUGGUCCUCUAAACCUGCGCUGACCCCCAGGCACUGUCGUGUGGCCAGCCUUCGUUUCUGAGCCCUCUGCUAGGGCCUCAGAAGGCUUUCAUGCCAGGGGUGUAGCAUUCCCCAGAAAGUGGGCUUUCAGAAAUGUCUGUUCUUGGCCUGCCUAGUGUUUUUGAACAGUUCAAACCCAUGUGCUGAUACCGUAGUGCGGUUUGAAGGCAGAAGCUCAGGACUUGGAGUCUGUUCAGUUGGGUUCAUGGUCCGUCUCAGACUAGUUUUAUGCUUAUGGAGGCUGUGAGAAGGGACACAGGGUGCCUAGAAUGGGGCCUGAGCACACCCAGCCCUUAGCAUGGGUGCAGACAGUAAGUGGAUGGCCUUCCUCCUCCUCACCAGCACCAAGGCAGCCUUCCAGAGUUCUCAGACCCCAGACAGAGGCAGUCCUUGGGGCCUUGUCCCAGAAAGGUCCUAAGAGGCUCAGAGGGUAUGGGUGACCCAGUGAGUAGGAUGUUUGUUCCCACCUUGCCCUGAUGCAGGUGUCACAUGGGAUGUGGGUGACCUCAUCCAUUUCUGUUGGGGUUUCCUUUCACCUGUGCAUAGUCCUGUGGGUCUAGUGUGCCAGGCUGUAUACUGUACCUAAGCAGGCUAGAACUUGGUGGAGUUGGGAAGCUACUGAGGUUGCCCAACUAGUUAAAGGUUGGGUAGGUUCAGCCCUGGGUCUGCGGACAACAGGGAGGGUCCUCAACCAUGUGCACCAGCUAUCCUGUUUGUUCCCUGUCAGGUGGGUGAGGGAGCAUCUGUCCUUUCCAGCUCUAGGAUGCUGGGGUUCAGAUACAGAGAGUUUGUACCACCAGAAGAAGGGGCACUUUGGCAUCCCUGCCUUGUUAUAGCUGAGCGUGUGAGACGCAUGGUGUGGAGCCAGAUGUGAGGACUCCCGGGGCCAGAGAGCAGCUGUGGCCUUUCUGCACCAUGUGCCUCAAGGCAGUGCAGCAGCCUGGGCCAGACCCAGGUUCAAAGCCCAGCUUGUCCCUCACAGCUGUGAGCUGAUACAGUCACCUAGCUCCUCUCCUUCAUCUGUAAUGGGGGUCAUGAUAAUCCUCUUUGCUUCUACACAUAUGUUGCAAGGGUCACAUGAGAGAAUCUGUGGAAAGUACUUGGCCCAGAGUAAGCAUUUGACAGCGGGUAGGGCUUGUCGUCUGUGAAGUGGUUCUAGCAGUUACCUGCCUGGAAGUCUUGCAGUGAAAAUGAAACACAAGGUAUGUAGUAGUCUGGCAUAGAUAGGUUUGCAAGUCAUUAUCGCCACCAUUGUCAUUGUUAAUGUCACCGUGAGCAGGAAUCAGCCCUGUUUCUCCCACCAGCCCCAGCCCAGCCCAGCCCCAGCACCGCCGGCUAAUGUGGGCUUUGUUCUCU
This is a long non-coding RNA of Manis pentadactyla (Chinese pangolin), 3726 nucleotides long. RefSeq lists it as uncharacterized. NCBI's taxonomy places the organism in Eukaryota, Metazoa, Chordata, Mammalia, Pholidota, Manidae. The transcript has 3 exons. The record is from RefSeq and is a predicted model, not a curated record.